Molecule: ribosomal RNA, 531 nt
Filed under: uncultured bacterium
Lineage: Bacteria
Description: bacterial SSU rRNA
Rfam family: Bacterial small subunit ribosomal RNA
Source: RNAcentral
GCCCUAAACGAUGUCAACUAGUUGUUGGGGAUUCAUUUCCUUAGUAACGUAGCUAACGCGUGAAGUUGACCGCCUGGGGAGUACGGUCGCAAGAUUAAAACUCAAAGGAAUUGACGGGGACCCGCACAAGCGGUGGAUGAUGUGGAUUAAUUCGAUGCAACGCGAAAAACCUUACCUACCCUUGACAUGGUCGGAAUCCUGCUGAGAGGUGGGAGUGCUCGAAAGAGAACCGAUACACAGGUGCUGCAUGGCUGUCGUCAGCUCGUGUCGUGAGAUGUUGGGUUAAGUCCCGCAACGAGCGCAACCCUUGUCCUUAGUUGCUACGCAAGAGCACUCUAAGGAGACUGCCGGUGACAAACCGGAGGAAGGUGGGGAUGACGUCAAGUCCUCAUGGCCCUUAUGGGUAGGGCUUCACACGUCAUACAAUGGUCGGAACAGAGGGUUGCCAACCCGCGAGGGGGAGCUAAUCCCAGAAAACCGAUCGUAGUCCGGAUUGCACUCUGCAACUCGAGUGCAUGAAGCUGGAAUCGC